This 253-nucleotide ribosomal RNA is filed under the name uncultured bacterium. Its description in RNAcentral is "partial 16S ribosomal RNA". It matches the Rfam family "Bacterial small subunit ribosomal RNA", at positions 524 to 776 of the family's 1533-position model. The record is from RNAcentral.
UACGUAGGGUGCAAGCGUUAAUCGGAAUUACUGGGCGUAAAGCGUGCGCAGGCGGUUGUGCAAGACAGAUGUGAAAUCCCCGGGCUCAACCUGGGAAUUGCAUUUGUGACUGCACGGCUAGAGUGUGUCAGAGGGGGGUAGAAUUCCACGUGUAGCAGUGAAAUGCGUAGAGAUGUGGAGGAAUACCGAUGGCGAAGGCAGCCCCCUGGGAUAACACUGUCGCUCAUGCACGAAAGCGUGGGGAGCAAACAGG